Quercus robur (English oak) is the source of this 973-nucleotide long non-coding RNA. RefSeq lists it as uncharacterized. Lineage: Eukaryota; Viridiplantae; Streptophyta; Magnoliopsida; Fagales; Fagaceae. The transcript is spliced from 2 exons. The record is from RefSeq and is a predicted model, not a curated record.
CCAACCAAAAAAAUAAAAACGUCUUAUCUCUCCCUCUCUACGUUUGGUGUUCAAACUGUUAGUCUCUCUGUUUCUCUCUCUCUCUAUCUCCUCCUCCAUUCCUCCUCCACCACCAUUGUUCCACCUCCACAAGUUGCCGGCAGAGAGAAAAAAAAAAAAAAAAAGCCGAAUUGUUUUUAUUUGUGAGUACUCUCUUUCUAUUUUUCCUUUCUUUUCUGGUGUGAGUGCAUUUUUUUUUAUCUGGUCUGACUCUCUCCAGAACUCUACGUUGCUUUUCUGGUCCUUUAUCCGCAAUUGGAUCCAUACUCACAGGAAUUGACUACAUAGGUCUAGGCCAUGUGAUGGUGUUUGCUAAUGGGGGAUUACUCCCAAGCUUUGGAAGAAUUAUCAAGAGAGCAAUAAGGUUGGAGACACGAAAAGGCAGUCACGGGGUUGCAAUUGCAUAUGUUGAUGUGGUUAGCACAAUCAUCUUUCAACAUUUGAGUUUAACACUUGUGCUAGGCACCCCUAAAAUAUUGCAGAAGAGAUUCAGUGCAAAGGGGCUGUUAUAAAGCAAAUGUUCCUCAAAAGUAUGCCAGGAGAUGAGAGGAUUCCUAUAGUGCUCAUGGAUAAUGACAUUAUUUCCCCCCUCUUUUAUAGAAAGAAAAAAUAAAAUAAGAUUUGAAUUUUUCCUUUGAUUGUCCAUUUACUUGGCAUUGUUAUGAUUCAAACAUAUUUCACAUUUUGAGAGGAAAAAAAAAAUUAAAAUGGAUUUCAAUGAACAACUUUUUUCUUCUAUUAGCUGCCAAUCUUAUUGAGCAGGUAUGAAAUCAAAAUGUUUCUCCUGGAAAAUUAAGUACCCCAUUGAUGUUACCAUAUGAUGAAUGUAAGGCUAUGAACAUUGUUGAUUUGUUAUACUUUAAUUUCUUGUAAUGACUUUCUAUGAUUGUCAAACAACUUUCUGUGGUGGUGAUUGUGUCUGGUUCCAUGCUAA